CCGUCUUCACGAGAAUGAUUUACACCUCAUUUCAUCUGUAAAGUUAUGUUCCUAUCUCCUUCAUUCUAUAACUCCCGACAGUCUACAGAAGUAAAAUAUUCAAGGAGCAAACGAUCAAGAAAAACAGGCGAGGAACUCCAGUGUUGAUAUACGAUCACUAACAAAGGCAAGUAAUAUAUGGUCACGUUAUUUGUAACAGCGUUUGCUUAGCGCUAAGAUAAAUGAGCGGCUGCUGAAAUCUGUGGAAAACUGAUGUUGUCCAGGCAACUAGUUCUUGCAUACAUCCUGCGGAUGGGCUCAUGGUGCACGGUUCUGUCGACAAAAGAUGUUCACCAGGCACCAUGGGAUAGCAAGCUUCCAAAAUAUUUCAGUUCGCUGUUUGUGCGCGAUUCAGAACGAAAGCAGUCUGGUAUAAUGGAGAGGAAUUACAAAAUCUAUUGUCAGCACUACCGUUGCUACAAAGGUGGCAACGAGUGUCCAGAUCGGUGCAAGUGCCCGACCUGGUUGCAGCAAGUACUCGGAGAACGCAAUUCCUGUAUCUUCGACAAAUAAACAAAGGGAAACGAA
Long non-coding RNA from Dermacentor andersoni, 567 nucleotides. RefSeq lists it as uncharacterized. NCBI's taxonomy places the organism in Eukaryota, Metazoa, Arthropoda, Arachnida, Ixodida, Ixodidae. The record is from RefSeq and is a predicted model, not a curated record.